GAAACCCGUCUGCCACAAGACCUCUCUAUCCACGCUGUCCUCUCUACCCACUACUGGCAAAGGCAUUCAGGUGGCCUGGGUUACAGCAGACAUAAGCCACAGGGGUUGCUGCGGAGACGGUUCCUGUGCCUCAGGAAGCUGGGAGAAGAGACGUUUCCUGUUUUGAAGAAGGUUUAAGAACGAUUUUCCUCCAAUCAGGCAGCAGAUGCCUGGGCAGGAAAUGGAGAACGCAGCUGCCAGCCCCACUGCGGAUGUCUGAAGCACCCGUCUGCCAUCCUUCAGCUCCCAGCUCACAAUUUGAUUCUCUGUGAUGUUACUUCCUCCAGUGCUUUAUGUAACAGAUGGUGUCUGAGAGGGUGUGAAUGGCUGGAGAAAAACAACACUAACUGCAGUAGGUAAAUCCAUAGAAGUGUGUUUUCAGCUACUUCCCUGAUAGCUGCUGGUAGAGCUCUACUGACAUUUUGCAAAUAUAGGCACCAAGUGCUUUGAGUGCAGGAUCAUCACACUCCCACAUCCUUGCGCAAGCUAAGUUACCUUUAAACAAAGCUUCGCCUGGGUAAGACAUGGGCCAAAACUGAGCAAGGACUUGAGAAUUAGGCAUCUGGGCAGCUGAGAAGGAAAGAAAAUCUCCAUGGCAGUGAGGAAUGAGUGGACUCAACUGUGACAUUGUAUAAGCUCUCAGAUUUUGUACCAUUGCCUAGAAAUACUCUGUUUUUACAGAAAUAGUAAGCAGUAUGAAUCUCAGAAACUCAAUGCAUCAGAAGAACUUUGAUGGCAUCAUGAACCUUAAUAGAAGCACAUAAACCUCCUUCCUGAGA
Falco peregrinus (peregrine falcon) is the source of this 818-nucleotide long non-coding RNA. RefSeq lists it as uncharacterized. The transcript has 3 exons. NCBI's taxonomy places the organism in Eukaryota, Metazoa, Chordata, Aves, Falconiformes, Falconidae. The record is from RefSeq and is a predicted model, not a curated record.